UAAUGCCGGAUGCUCCAGUUGAUCGCAUGGUCUUCUGGGAAAGCUUUCGCGGUAUGGGAUGGGGUCGCGUCCUAUCAGCUUGACGGCGGGGUAACGGCCCACCGUGGCUUCGACGGGUAGCCGGCCUGAGAGGGCGACCGGCCACAUUGGGACUGAGAUACGGCCCAGACUCCUACGGGAGGCAGCAGUGGGGAAUAUUGCACAAUGGGCGCAAGCCUGAUGCAGCGACGCCGCGUGAGGGAUGGAGGCCUUCGGGUUGUAAACCUCUUUUAUCGGGGAGCAAGCGAGAGUGAGUUUACCCGUUGAAUAAGCACCGGCUAACUACGUGCCAGCAGCCGCGGUAAUACGUAGGGUGCAAGCGUUAUCCGGAAUUAUUGGGCGUAAAGGGCUCGUAGGCGGUUCGUCGCGUCCGGUGUGAAAGUCCAUCGCUUAACGGUGGAUCCGCGCCGGGUACGGGCGGGCUUGAGUGCGGUAGGGGAGACUGGAAUUCCCGGUGUAACGGUGGAAUGUGUAGAUAUCGGAAAA
Molecule: ribosomal RNA, 525 nt
Filed under: Bifidobacterium longum subsp. suillum
Lineage: Bacteria; Bacillati; Actinomycetota; Actinomycetes; Bifidobacteriales; Bifidobacteriaceae
Description: bacterial SSU rRNA
Rfam family: Bacterial small subunit ribosomal RNA
Source: RNAcentral